Molecule: ribosomal RNA, 377 nt
Filed under: uncultured bacterium
Lineage: Bacteria
Description: bacterial SSU rRNA
Rfam family: Bacterial small subunit ribosomal RNA
Source: RNAcentral
UACGUAGGGGGCAAGCGUUGUCCGGAAUCAUUGGGCGUAAAGCGCGUGUAGGCGGUCCGGUAAGUCGGCUGUGAAAGUCAGAUGGCUCAACCUCUGAAAGCCGGCUGAUACUGUCGGGCUAGAGUCCGGAAGAGGCGAGUGGAAUUCCUGGUGUAGCGGUGAAAUGCGCAGAUAUCAGGAGGAACACCAAUGGCGAAGGCAGCUCGCUGGGACGGUACUGACGCUGAGACGCGAAAGCGUGGGGAGCAAACAGGAUUAGAUACCCUGGUAGUCCACGCCGUAAACGAUGGGCACUAGGUGUGGGGGGUGUCGACUCCCUCCGUGCCGAAGCUAACGCAUUAAGUGCCCCGCCUGGGGAGUACGGCCGCAAGGCUAAA